This is a long non-coding RNA of Acinonyx jubatus (cheetah), 492 nucleotides long. RefSeq lists it as uncharacterized. NCBI's taxonomy places the organism in Eukaryota, Metazoa, Chordata, Mammalia, Carnivora, Felidae. The transcript is spliced from 3 exons. The record is from RefSeq and is a predicted model, not a curated record.
GGGAGGGGGUUGAAUAAAUAAUAAACAGCACGUCGGCCCCCGCGCGGCGCAAAACGCCUAUAAGUACAUCUUUUUAUUGCCCUUGUCUGCCAUUCAGAUUUGGGACAUAAUCACAUCAGCCUGCCUUUCUGAGAAUUCGUAGCUGUGUUUUUAAUCUAAUUCCGGGGACUGGAGAUAAAUCAUCGUGAAGGGUCCCGAUUUUCCGAGCCAAGAGCUUGCAGCGGCAGGAACAGCGAUGGCAUGCUAAGGGAACGGCUCUCCAGCAGCUUGCCAAGAAACAAGAGCUACCAUGCCGCUCUCCCGGCCUGCAGGAGCCCUGAGUGCAACGAGACCGCCUUUUCCUUCACCUGGCCUGGUGGAAAAGUGACAACCUAUCUUACAUUCUGACACUGCACCCUCCGCCCACCGUGCCCCAAGAUGUACAAGCCCCUGAUGAACUAAAGGGUGGCCAGAGCCUGAGCAAAGAGCCGCCCGCAAGAAGAAGAGAUGCCA